Molecule: ribosomal RNA, 253 nt
Filed under: uncultured bacterium
Lineage: Bacteria
Description: partial 16S ribosomal RNA
Rfam family: Bacterial small subunit ribosomal RNA
Source: RNAcentral
GACGGGGGGUCCAAGCGUUGUUCGGAAUCAUUGGGCGUAAAGCGUGUGCAGGUGGUCUUGUAAGUUGGAUGUGAAAGCCCCGGGCUUAACCCGGGAAGUGCAUUCAAAACUGCAAGACUUGAGUAUGGAAGAGGGUCGUGGAAUUCCAGGUGUAGUGGUGAAAUACGUAGAUAUCUGGAGGAACACCGGUGGCGAAGGCGGCGACCUGGUCCUAUACUGACACUCAUACACGAAAGCGUGGGGAUCAAACAGG